AUAUCAAUAAGCGGAGGAAAAGAAACCAACAGGGAUUGCCCUAGUAACGGCGAGUGAAGCGGCAACAGCUCAAAUUUGAAAUCUGGCUCCUUUGGUGCCCGAGUUGUAAUUUGUAGAGGAUGCUUCGAGUUUGGCCUUGGCCUAAGUUCCUUGGAACAGGACGUCAUAGAGGGUGAGAAUCCCGUAUGUGGCCGAAGGUUUACGCUCAGGUGAGGCUCCUUCGACGAGUCGAGUUGUUUGGGAAUGCAGCUCAAAAUGGGUGGUAAAUUUCAUCUAAAGCUAAAUACCGGCGGGAGACCGAUAGCGCACAAGUAGAGUGAUCGAAAGAUGAAAAGCACUUUGGAAAGAGAGUUAAAAAGUACGUGAAAUUGUUGAAAGGGAAGCGCUUGCAACCAGACUUGCCCACGGUGGAUCAACCGGUGUUCUCAGCGGUGCACUCCGCCAUGGUCAGGCCAGCAUCGGUUUAGGCGGUUGGAGAAAGGCCGUGGGAAUGUGACUUCCUUCGGGAAGUGUUAUAGCCCACGGCGUCAUGCAGCCAGCCUGGACCGAGGACCGCGCUUCGGCUAGGAUGCUGGCGUAAUGGUUGUAAGCGA
RNAcentral lists this ribosomal RNA (593 nucleotides) under uncultured fungus. RNAcentral's name for it is "eukaryotic LSU rRNA". It matches the Rfam family "Eukaryotic large subunit ribosomal RNA", at positions 40 to 647 of the family's 3401-position model. The record is from RNAcentral. Lineage: Eukaryota; Fungi.